GAGGAGCCUGCGGCGGAUUAGCUAGUUGGUAGGGUAACGGCUUACCAAGGCGACGAUCCGUAACCGGCCUGAGAGGGCGGUCGGUCACACUGACACUGACAUACGGGUCAGACUCCUACGGGAGGCAGCAGUCGGGAAUUUUGGGCAAUGGGCGAAAGCCUGACCCAGCAACGCCGCGUGAAGGAUGAAAUCCCUCGGGAUGUAAACUUCGCAAGAAUGGGAAGAAUGAGCGAGCGCUAAUACCGUUCGUGAUGACGGUACCAUUUGUAAGCUCCGGCUGACUCCGUGCCAGCAGCCGCGGUAAUACGGGGGGAGCAAGCGUUGUUCGGAUUUACUGGGCGUAAAGGGCGCGUAGGCGGCCAGCGCAAGUCAGUUGUGAAAUCUCCGGGCUUAACUCGGAAAGGUCAACUGAUACUGCGCGGCUAGAGUGCGGAAGGGGCAACUGGAAUUCUCGGUGUAGCGGUGAAAUGCGUAGAUAUCGAGAGG
This 486-nucleotide ribosomal RNA is filed under the name uncultured Acidobacteriota bacterium. Its description in RNAcentral is "bacterial SSU rRNA". It matches the Rfam family "Bacterial small subunit ribosomal RNA", at positions 224 to 704 of the family's 1533-position model. Lineage: Bacteria; Pseudomonadati; Acidobacteriota. The record is from RNAcentral.